CGUCAGUGCUUGCCACACACCAGCGGAUCUAGCUAUCAACGGCCACCCUCAGCUUUUCACGGCUUCUUGGCGUGGUCGUCGACGGCAGCUGCAGCGGGGGAGCCCGGCAUGCCGCCGAAGCCGCCGAGGCCGGGGGAGCCGCCGAGACCAGGGGAGCUGCCGCCGAGGAAGGGCAUGCUGCCGAUGCCGCCGAAGCUCGGGGUGGCGCCGCCGCUGCCGGGGAGGCUGAAUCCGGGCAUGCCGCUGCUGCCGGGGAGGCCGCCGCCCAACGCCGGCGACCCGCCGCCUAAGCGGUCG
RNAcentral lists this long non-coding RNA (297 nucleotides) under Hordeum vulgare. Its description in RNAcentral is "long non-coding RNA (HVUL_LNC006996)". The record is from RNAcentral. Lineage: Eukaryota; Viridiplantae; Streptophyta; Magnoliopsida; Poales; Poaceae.